Pomacea canaliculata is the source of this 580-nucleotide long non-coding RNA. RefSeq lists it as uncharacterized. The transcript is spliced from 3 exons. Lineage: Eukaryota; Metazoa; Mollusca; Gastropoda; Architaenioglossa; Ampullariidae. The record is from RefSeq and is a predicted model, not a curated record.
UUUAUAUGUUUUUUCCACAAUCUGGGACUGUCUGACACUAAGCCAAGACAACGAAGAAUGGCCUGCUACAGUGCUGCUCCUUUUUCGUGUUAUUAGCUUCAACUCAAGUUGAGGUGUGGUCCUGAAUAUACUUCAACUCAGAUGAACCGUAGAAUGGCGGGUGAAUUACUGAAGUAUUUCCUGCUGCUUGAUUUGGUGAGAUUUAGUCAAGCAAGCAUUACAGCAGUGUGUGCUACAAGUGACAGUUACUGGGAAGUGCAAGGGAAUAAACAGGAUAACACCUUCACCUGCACGGGCCUGUCAGCACAGGACACCGCCCUGUGGGACCACUGGGUGCCUGCUACAGGAGCUACCACCAGUCUUGGUGAAUGCAAGCCUCGUCUCUCAGGUGGAAGUCAGUAUGUUUGUGGACAACCACUCAGCCCAAUUUUUCUACCGACCAGAACUUCUGAUGACACAAGUGUGAUGGUCGUUAAUGCUUUAAAUGUUACAAAUACUAGAUUAUUUGACAAUGGGCAACUGCGCUGUGCUGCUGCUUAUGGAACAACACCGAAUGGAUCAACGGGCUGCCGCCUGGAUU